Mycena vulgaris is the source of this 92-nucleotide non-coding RNA. Lineage: Eukaryota; Fungi; Basidiomycota; Agaricomycetes; Agaricales; Mycenaceae. The record is from the annotation of a GenBank genome assembly.
GCACCGGUGGUGUAAGAACACGCGUCAAAGUCAUUGUCGUUGUUUCGAUACUUGAUCAUGACGGAGUCGGGGUUCGAUUCCCCGUCGGUGCC